Molecule: non-coding RNA, 30 nt
Filed under: Rattus norvegicus (Norway rat)
Lineage: Eukaryota; Metazoa; Chordata; Mammalia; Rodentia; Muridae
Source: RNAcentral
UUCCAGAAUAGGCGUAGGCCUGAAGGAAAA